Molecule: transfer RNA, 73 nt
Filed under: Schistocephalus solidus
Lineage: Eukaryota; Metazoa; Platyhelminthes; Cestoda; Diphyllobothriidea; Diphyllobothriidae
Rfam family: tRNA
About the family: Transfer RNA (tRNA) molecules are approximately 80 nucleotides in length. Their secondary structure includes four short double-helical elements and three loops (D, anti-codon, and T loops). Further hydrogen bonds mediate the characteristic L-shaped molecular structure. tRNAs have two regions of fundamental functional importance: the anti-codon, which is responsible for specific mRNA codon recognition, and the 3' end, to which the tRNAs corresponding amino acid is attached (by aminoacyl-tRNA synthetases). tRNAs cope with the degeneracy of the genetic code in two manners: having more than one tRNA (with a specific anti-codon) for a particular amino acid; and 'wobble' base-pairing, i.e. permitting non-standard base-pairing at the 3rd anti-codon position.
Source: Rfam by way of RNAcentral
GAAAAAUUGGCUCAAUGGUUAUAACGUUUGACUUCUAAUCAACAGGUCUCGGGUUUGAUCCUCGAAUAGUGCA